RNAcentral lists this transfer RNA (73 nucleotides) under Paramuricea clavata. It matches the Rfam family "tRNA". Rfam says of the family: Transfer RNA (tRNA) molecules are approximately 80 nucleotides in length. Their secondary structure includes four short double-helical elements and three loops (D, anti-codon, and T loops). Lineage: Eukaryota; Metazoa; Cnidaria; Anthozoa; Malacalcyonacea; Plexauridae. The record is from Rfam by way of RNAcentral.
GACCGCAUAGCUCAGUUGGCAGAGCAUUGGGCUAGUAUUCCAAAGGUCGUAGGUUCGAUUUCCACCGUGGUCA